This 34-nucleotide ribosomal RNA is filed under the name Cortinarius subbrunneoideus. RNAcentral describes it as "partial 28S ribosomal RNA". The record is from RNAcentral. Lineage: Eukaryota; Fungi; Basidiomycota; Agaricomycetes; Agaricales; Cortinariaceae. RNAcentral also lists the same sequence under 1 other name.
UGUGACCUCAAAUCAGGUAGGACUACCCGCUGAA